AGUUAGCUCUUCACCCCGACCAGGGUAUUCUUAGCUUGGCUGGUGGAUUCGUGGCGAGGGGGUGAGUAACCCGUGAGUAACCUGCCCCUGACUUCGGGAUAAGCCCGGGAAACUGGGUCUAAUACCGGAUAUGACUUCCUGCUGCAUGGCAGGGGGUGGAAAGAUUUAUCGGUUGGGGAUGGACUCGCGGCCUAUCAGCUUGUUGGUGAGGUAAUGGCUCACCAAGGCGACGACGGGUAGCCGGCCUGAGAGGGUGACCGGCCACACUGGGACUGAGACACGGCCCAGACUCCUACGGGAGGCAGCAGUGGGGAAUAUUGCACAAUGGGCGAAAGCCUGAUGCAGCGACGCCGCGUGAGGGAUGACGGCCUUCGGGUUGUAAACCUCUUUCAGUAGGGAAGAAGCCCCUUUUUGGGGGUGACGGUACUUGCAAAAGAAGCGCCGGCUAACUACGUGCCAGCAGCCGCGGUAAUACGUAGGGCGCAAGCGUUAUCCGGAAUUAUUGGGCGUAAAGAGCUCGUAGGCGGUUUGUCGCGUCUGCCGUGAAAGUCCGAGGCUCAACCUCGGAUCUGCGGUGGGUACGGGCAGACUAGAGUGAUGUAGGGGAGACUGGAAUUCCUGGUGUAGCGGUGAAAUGCGCAGAUAUCAGGAGGAACACCGAUGGCGAAGGCAGGUCUCUGGGCAUUUACUGACGCUGAGGAGCGAAAGCAUGGGGAGCGAACAGGAUU
RNAcentral lists this ribosomal RNA (728 nucleotides) under Arthrobacter sp. HPC 891. RNAcentral's name for it is "bacterial SSU rRNA". It matches the Rfam family "Bacterial small subunit ribosomal RNA", at positions 56 to 779 of the family's 1533-position model. Lineage: Bacteria; Bacillati; Actinomycetota; Actinomycetes; Micrococcales; Micrococcaceae. The record is from RNAcentral.